This 979-nucleotide ribosomal RNA is filed under the name Shigella sonnei. Its description in RNAcentral is "partial 23S ribosomal RNA". It matches the Rfam family "Bacterial large subunit ribosomal RNA", at positions 1 to 1011 of the family's 2925-position model. Lineage: Bacteria; Pseudomonadati; Pseudomonadota; Gammaproteobacteria; Enterobacterales; Enterobacteriaceae. The record is from RNAcentral.
GGGUUGUGAGGUUAAGCGACUAAGCGUACACGGUGGAUGCCCUGGCAGUCAGAGGCGAUGAAGGACGUGCUAAUCUGCGAUAAGCGUCGGUAAGGUGAUAUGAACCGUUAUAACCGGCGAUUUCCGAAUGGGGAAACCCAGUGUGAUUCGUCACACUAUCAUUAACUGAAUCCAUAGGUUAAUGAGGCGAACCGGGGGAACUGAAACAUCUAAGUACCCCGAGGAAAAGAAAUCAACCGAGAUUCCCCCAGUAGCGGCGAGCGGACGGGGAGCAGCCCAGAGCCUGAAUCAGUGUGUGUGUUAGUGGAAGCGUCUGGAAAGGCGUGCGAUACAGGGUGACAGCCCCGUACACAAAAAUGCACAUAUUGUGAGCUUGAUGAGUAGGGCGGGACACGUGGUAUCCUGUCUGAAUAUGGGGGGACCAUCCUCCAAGGCUAAAUACUCCUGACUGACCGAUAGUGAACCAGUACCGUGAGGGAAAGGCGAAAAGAACCCCGGCGAGGGGAGUGAAAAAGAACCUGAAACCGUGUACGUACAAGCAGUGGGAGCACGCUUAGGCGUGUGACUGCGUACCUUUUGUAUAAUGGGUCAGCGACUUAUAUUCUGUAGCAAGGUUAACCGAAUAGGGGAGCCGAAGGGAAACCGAGUCUUAACUGGGCGUUAAGUUGCAGGGUAUAGACCCGAAACCCGGUGAUCUAGCCAUGGGCAGGUUGAAGGUUGGGUAACACUAACUGGAGGACCGAACCGACUAAUGUUGAAAAAUUAGCGGAUGACUUGUGGCUGGGGGUGAAAGGCCAAUCAAACCGGGAGAUAGCUGGUUCUCCCCGAAAGCUAUUUAGGUAGCGCCUCGUGAAUUCAUCUCCGGGGGUAGAGCACUGUUUCGGCAAGGGGGUCAUCCCGACUUACCGACCCGAUGCAAACUGCGAAUACCGGAGAAUGUUAUCACGGGAGACACACGGCGGGUGCUAACGUCCGUCGU